This 208-nucleotide ribosomal RNA is filed under the name uncultured bacterium. RNAcentral describes it as "partial 16S ribosomal RNA". It matches the Rfam family "Bacterial small subunit ribosomal RNA", at positions 568 to 775 of the family's 1533-position model. The record is from RNAcentral.
UGCGCAGGCGGUUAUAUAAGACAGAUGUGAAAUCCCCGGGCUCAACCUGGGAACUGCAUUUGUGACUGUAUAGCUAGAGUACGGCAGAGGGGGAUGGAAUUCCGCGUGUAGCAGUGAAAUGCGUAGAUAUGCGGAGGAACACCGAUGGCGAAGGCAAUCCCCUGGGCCUGUACUGACGCUCAUGACGAAAGCGUGGGGGAGCGAGACA